Molecule: small nucleolar RNA, 70 nt
Organism: Juglans microcarpa x Juglans regia
Lineage: Eukaryota; Viridiplantae; Streptophyta; Magnoliopsida; Fagales; Juglandaceae
Product: small nucleolar RNA Z105
Exons: 1
Source: RefSeq, a predicted model, not a curated record
GCAUAAUGAUGAGGAAUUUGUGUGACUGAUUCUUUUGUAUGAAGAAUUAAUUACCUCCUACUCAUACUGA